UUUGAUUGGAGUCACAUCGGAUUAUCUCUAUCAAGUGCAAUAGUAGCAAUACCCGGCCAUAGCUUCAGUAUGUAAAAUGCUUGUAGCAUUUGCAAUCAAAAGGUAUCAUCAUCAUUGAGUGGCCUCCGGACAUAGUUCAACUGUUGUUACUCUUUUCGCUAAAGUGAAAUACAUGGUUUUCUGUGAGAACUUAAUUCUUUGAACUUCGAGAUCAUCUACCUUUUUUGGGACACUGCAGGACAUGGUUGAUAAUCAUGACAGUAAACUUUGGUGGAGAUCAAGGCCUGGUUAAAACCAAGUGAGCUUUUGUAGCUAGACUGUUUAAAAUGGAUGAAAUGGGCCAGUUACUGUUAUACAUGAAAUUCUGGACAGGUAGAGAUCAUUUUCAUGAUAUAUGAGUUUUCACUCUGUCUUCCUACUUCAUUGCUGAAACGUGUCAUGGGAAACCUAUUUUAGGGAAACAUAAAACAAUUGUUCUUUUGUUGUGUAUUAUUGCAUCUCAUCUUAGCUUUUAUUCCUCUGUAAACAAAUGUAAGACAUAACGUCUUAUUCUUGUUUACAGAGGGAGUAGAAUAUAUUUUUACAAUCAUCUUCUAUCGGCCAGAUUUCAAGUGUCAUGUUUUCAUAAAGCUGAAUUUUUCAUCUUAGUCCGCUUAAUUUGCAAUGGUUAUUUUACACUUACCACUGGAAAGAUGUUUUCUUUUAAUCAUAUUGUCUCUAGCUGAUCCUCACCUCAUAUCACACCGCAGUUGUCCCUCCUACAUUAGCUCGUUACACUUACUACAAUAACACAGCGGUGGCGGGUACAGGGGCAUUCCGGCGAUCUGUGGACAGACUGGCUUGAGGACGAGCAGGGGCUUUUGAGAGCUGGGGCCGGCAGCUUAGCGGUGAACAGGGAUGACGGUGUAUGGAAGUGGGCUGUGGUGGGCAUGGAACAACAUGGCCCAUGUCGCCUCUUCAUUCAGCUCAACAUGAUGGUCGUUCAUCUGAAAACAAGGUUGGGAUUUGGGAAGACAAUUAUCUGAGGGUGAUUCAGAUUUGAACAUGAAUGCAAAAUACAUCUGCGAUUUGAUUUUUGUACAUGGAAUAAAUUUUGUAUAUUGUGUAUACCUUUCUUCUAUUAGUAGUUUGUAAAUAUCAUGAAUCCAGUCUUAGGCAUAAACAAGUGACAUCUGAGUGGAGAAAGACAGUUCGCCCACUAAUGUGGUGAUGUCAAACAUUUGAAUUGCGUAUGGAGGUUCUUUCAUCGCAAAUAGCAAAGUUUGAUAGGGACUUACUUUAAUCAGCCAUGAAAAAGAUCUGCAGUCCUGAUCCAGAAUUGGCAAAACUGAAUGUCAAAAGCCAGAUAAAGGCAUUGCUUGAUUGCUACAAGAGUUAAUAACAUACACAAUGGCAUAUUAGCUGCAUAUAUGCCCAUGGCAUAUUAGCUGCAUAU
RNAcentral lists this long non-coding RNA (1435 nucleotides) under Triticum aestivum (bread wheat). Its description in RNAcentral is "long non-coding RNA (TAES_LNC013084)". The record is from RNAcentral. Lineage: Eukaryota; Viridiplantae; Streptophyta; Magnoliopsida; Poales; Poaceae.